UUCCGGUUGAUCCUGCCGGACCUGACUGCUAUCGGAUUGAUACUAAGCCAUGCGAGUCAUUGUAGCAAUACAAGGCAUACGGCUCAGUAACGCGUAGUCAACCUACCUUAUGGACGGGGAUAACCUCGGGAAACUGAGAAUAAUACCCGAUAGAACAUAAUUCCUGGAAUGGUUUGUGUUUCAAAUAAUUUAUUGCCGUAGGAUGGGACUGCGGCCUAUCAGUUUGUUGGUGAGGUAAUGGCCCACCAAGACUAUUACAGGUACGGGCUCUGAGAGGAGUAGCCCGGAGAUGGGUACUGAGACACGGACCCAGGCCCUAUGGGGCGCAGCAGGCGAGAAAACUUUGCAAUGUGCGAAAGCACGACAAGGUUAAUCCGAGUGGUUUCUGCUAAAGGAACCUUUUGACAGUCAUAGAACCACUGUUGAAUAAGGGGUGGGCAAGUUCUGGUGUCAGCCGCCGCGGUAAAACCAGCACCUCAAGUGGUCAGGAUGAUUAUUGGGCCUAAAGCAUCCGUAGCCUGCUUUGUAAGUUUUCGGUUAAAUCCACACGCUCAACGUAUGGGCUGCCGGGAAUACUGCAAAGCUAGGGAGUGGGAGAGGUAGACGGUACUCGGUAGGAAGGGGUAAAAUCCUUUGAUCUAUUGAUGACCACCUGUGGCGAAGGCGGUCUACCAGAACACGUCCGACGGUGAGGGAUGAAAGCUGGGGGAGCAAACCGGAUUAGAUACCCGGGUAGUCCCAGCUGUAAACUAUGCAAACUCGGUGAUGCAUUGGCUUGAUGCCAAUGCAGUGCCGCAGGGAAGCCGUUAAGUUUGCCGCCUGGGAAGUACGUACGCAAGUAUGAAACUUAAAGGAAUUGGCGGGGGAGCACCACAAGGGGUGAAGCCUGCGGUUCAAUUGGAUUCAACGCCGGG
Molecule: ribosomal RNA, 914 nt
Filed under: uncultured archaeon
Lineage: Archaea
Description: bacterial SSU rRNA
Rfam family: Archaeal small subunit ribosomal RNA
Source: RNAcentral